This 1738-nucleotide ribosomal RNA is filed under the name Salmonella enterica. RNAcentral describes it as "partial 23S ribosomal RNA". It matches the Rfam family "Bacterial large subunit ribosomal RNA", at positions 1210 to 2925 of the family's 2925-position model. RNAcentral also lists the same sequence under 1 other name. The record is from RNAcentral. Lineage: Bacteria; Pseudomonadati; Pseudomonadota; Gammaproteobacteria; Enterobacterales; Enterobacteriaceae.
GACACUAUGUGUUGUUGGGUAGGGGAGCGUUCUGUAAGCCUGUGAAGGUGUGUCGUGAGGCAUGCUGGAGGUAUCAGAAGUGCGAAUGCUGACAUAAGUAACGAUAAAGCGGGUGAAAAGCCCGCUCGCCGGAAGACCAAGGGUUCCUGUCCAACGUUAAUCGGGGCAGGGUGAGUCGACCCCUAAGGCGAGGCCGAAAGGCGUAGUCGAUGGGAAACGGGUUAAUAUUCCCGUACUUGGUGUUACUGCGAAGGGGGGACGGAGAAGGCUAUGUUGGCCGGGCGACGGUUGUCCCGGUUUAAGCGUGUAGGUGUGUGUUCCAGGUAAAUCCGGUUCACUUUAACACUGAGGCGUGACGACGAGGCACUACGGUGCUGAAGCAACAAAUGCCCUGCUUCCAGGAAAAGCCUCUAAGCAUCAGGUAACAUCAAAUCGUACCCCAAACCGACACAGGUGGUCAGGUAGAGAAUACCAAGGCGCUUGAGAGAACUCGGGUGAAGGAACUAGGCAAAAUGGUGCCGUAACUUCGGGAGAAGGCACGCUGACACGUAGGUGAAGUGAUUUACUCAUGGAGCUGAAGUCAGUCGAAGAUACCAGCUGGCUGCAACUGUUUAUUAAAAACACAGCACUGUGCAAACACGAAAGUGGACGUAUACGGUGUGACGCCUGCCCGGUGCCGGAAGGUUAAUUGAUGGGGUCAGCGCAAGCGAAGCUCCUGAUCGAAGCCCCGGUAAACGGCGGCCGUAACUAUAACGGUCCUAAGGUAGCGAAAUUCCUUGUCGGGUAAGUUCCGACCUGCACGAAUGGCGUAAUGAUGGCCAGGCUGUCUCCACCCGAGACUCAGUGAAAUUGAACUCGCUGUGAAGAUGCAGUGUACCCGCGGCAAGACGGAAAGACCCCGUGAACCUUUACUAUAGCUUGACACUGAACAUUGAGCCUUGAUGUGUAGGAUAGGUGGGAGGCUUUGAAGUGUGGACGCCAGUCUGCAUGGAGCCGACCUUGAAAUACCACCCUUUAAUGUUUGAUGUUCUAACGUGGACCCGUGAUCCGGGUUGCGGACAGUGUCUGGUGGGUAGUUUGACUGGGGCGGUCUCCUCCUAAAGAGUAACGGAGGAGCACGAAGGUUGGCUAAUCCUGGUCGGACAUCAGGAGGUUAGUGCAAUGGCAUAAGCCAGCUUGACUGCGAGCGUGACGGCGCGAGCAGGUGCGAAAGCAGGUCAUAGUGAUCCGGUGGUUCUGAAUGGAAGGGCCAUCGCUCAACGGAUAAAAGGUACUCCGGGGAUAACAGGCUGAUACCGCCCAAGAGUUCAUAUCGACGGCGGUGUUUGGCACCUCGAUGUCGGCUCAUCACAUCCUGGGGCUGAAGUAGGUCCCAAGGGUAUGGCUGUUCGCCAUUUAAAGUGGUACGCGAGCUGGGUUUAGAACGUCGUGAGACAGUUCGGUCCCUAUCUGCCGUGGGCGCUGGAGAACUGAGGGGGGCUGCUCCUAGUACGAGAGGACCGGAGUGGACGCAUCACUGGUGUUCGGGUUGUCAUGCCAAUGGCACUGCCCGGUAGCUAAAUGCGGAAGAGAUAAGUGCUGAAAGCAUCUAAGCACGAAACUUGCCCCGAGAUGAGUUCUCCCUGAGACUUAAAGUCUCCUGAAGGAACGUUGAAGACGACGACGUUGAUAGGCCGGGUGUGUAAGCGCAGCGAUGCGUUGAGCUAACCGGUACUAAUGAACCGUGAGGCUUAACCUU